RNAcentral lists this ribosomal RNA (301 nucleotides) under uncultured bacterium. RNAcentral's name for it is "partial 16S ribosomal RNA". It matches the Rfam family "Bacterial small subunit ribosomal RNA", at positions 509 to 808 of the family's 1533-position model. The record is from RNAcentral.
CAGUAGCCGCGGUAAUACGAAGGGUGCAAGCGUUACUCGGAAUUACUGGGCGUAAAGCGUGCGUAGGUGGUUGUUUAAGUCUGCUGUGAAAGCCCUGGGCUCAACCUGGGAAUUGCAGUGGAUACUGGGCGACUAGAGUAAGGUAGAGGAUAGUGGAAUUUCCGGUGUAGCAGUGAAAUGCGUAGAGAUCGGAAGGAACAUCUGUGGCGAAGGCGACUAUCUGGGCCAUUACUGACACUGAGGCACGAAAGCGUGGGGAGCAAACAGGAUUAGAUACCCCCUGUAGUCCCUGUCUCUUAUU